RNAcentral lists this ribosomal RNA (559 nucleotides) under Sebacina sp. Seb4L. RNAcentral describes it as "eukaryotic LSU rRNA". It matches the Rfam family "Eukaryotic large subunit ribosomal RNA", at positions 90 to 631 of the family's 3401-position model. The record is from RNAcentral. Lineage: Eukaryota; Fungi; Basidiomycota; Agaricomycetes; Sebacinales; Sebacinaceae.
CGAGUGAAGAGGGAAAAGCUCAAAUUUUGAAUCUGGUGUCUUUGGCGCCCGAGUUGUAAUCUAGAGAAGUGUUUUCUGCCUCGGACCACACAUAAAUUCCCUGGAAUGGGGUGUCAUAGAGGGUGAGAAUCCCGUUUGUGGUGUGGACUACCUUGGCUCUGUGAUACACUCUCAACGAGUCGAGUUGUUUGGGAAUGCAGCUCAAAAUGGGUGGUAAAUUCCAUCUAAAGCUAAAUAUUGGCGAGAGACCGAUAGCGAACAAGUACCGUGAGGGAAAGAUGAAAAGCACUUUGGAAAGAGAGUGAAACAGUACGUGAAAUUGUUGAAAGGGAAGCGUUUGAAGUCAGUCACAUCGGUCGGAAUUCAGCCUGGCUUUGCCUGGUGUACUUUUUGGCAGAUGGGUCAGCGUCAAUUUUGACUGAGGGAAAAAGACUUGAGGAAUGUGGCUGUCUUCGGGCAGUGUUAUAGCCUCUUGUUGUAUGUCUCAGUUGGGAUUGAGGACCGCAGCACGCCUUAUGGCCGGGGUUCGCGCCCUCGGAACGUGCUUAGGACGCUGGCA